Long non-coding RNA from Felis catus (domestic cat), 2916 nucleotides. RefSeq lists it as uncharacterized. The record is from RefSeq and is a predicted model, not a curated record. The transcript is spliced from 2 exons. NCBI's taxonomy places the organism in Eukaryota, Metazoa, Chordata, Mammalia, Carnivora, Felidae.
UGCUUGGAGAGGGAGGGAGCAAUCAACUGCUUGAAACACUGAUGGAAGAAGAUGCAUGUUGAGAAUUACCUGCUGCAAUUGGAGAUGAGAAGGUGAUUGGCAUCCUUGACAACAGCUAUUUCUGGGGUGGAAAAAGGAUGAAACCUGGAUGCCAUUGGGUUAGGGAGAAGGUAGGAGAAAAGGAAAUGAGGAUGAUGACUUUAUUCUAGGAUAAUUUUCCUGGAAAGGGGGUGCAAAAAUGGGUACAGUAGCUGAAGAGGGAUGUGGGACAAGUGAGGAUUUUUUUUUAAUAUGAGAAAAUAUAAAAUGUGCACUAAUGAAGAAGAGUGAGGGAGGUUGAUGAUGCAAGGCAGAGAGGAAACAGCAGGUACAUCCCCAAAGGAGGAGUUGGCCAGAGAAAGGAGAAAGGAAGUCAGUCCAAAGAAACAAGAGAAUGUGAGAUGUUUGUGUAUGUUGGCAGAUAGAUAUGGUGAUGGAAAUGUAUGGAAAUUACUUUCUGAUUGCUUUUAUGAUGUACAAUGAAAUAGGAAGCAAAGCAACUAUUUGGGAGUGAAAAUUAAAGAAGAGACCAUGAAGAUUUGGGAAGAAGGAAAUAGUCGACCAGGAGAGUAGACAAGUGAAUGGAUUAGGGAAAUGCAGUGGAAUUAGUGAAAGCACUAAAGGUCCACUGCGGGUUAGUGGUUGAGGAUCUAAAGUUAAAUCAAUCAGUAUAACAUUGACCUACAUGGAAUAGGUGUAAUGUUGGAUUUAAACAGGGCAUAGGUUGUGUUGGCUGCUAUGAGCUGAAGUGUGUCCCCCCACAAUUAGUUGCUGGAGCCCUAAUCUCCAAUGAGACUGUAUUUGGAGAAAGGGCUUUCAGGAGAUAAUUAAGGUUAAAUAAGGUCACAAGUGGGGAUUCCAAAUCUGAUAGGAUUAGUGGUCCUAUAAAAAGAAAAAGAGAGAGAGUUCUGUCUUAAUGCUCAUGCAUGAAGAAAAGGCCAUAUGAGCACACACUGAGAUGGCAGCUGUCUGGAAGCCAGGAAGAAAGCUCUCACCAAGAAUUAAAUUCGCUGGCACCUUAGUCUUGAACUCCCCAGCCUCCAGAACUGUGAGAAAUAGAUUUCUGUUGUUUAAGUCACCCAGACUAUUUUAUUUGUUAUGGUGGCCUGAGCUAAAACAUCAGGACACACAUACCCAGGCACUCUCACCUCUCCCACAGGCUUGCUGUGCAAUCACCGAGUCCCAGAUUCUUGGACCCAGGAAGCGAGCAGCACCCUUUCACAUUAGCCUAGGCCACCUGCUCAGGCCCAGCUUCCCAGAGAGCCUAUCGGCAGUGUCUGGGCCGCAGUCCCAGCUACGUCCUAAUGAAAGGGUACUUUGGUUCUCCAUCCACGUCUGACCCCAUGCACGUCACUCCUUGGAAGUAGGGUUUGGUCCAUGAUGCAAGCCGGUAACGUCACACCCCUGCUUCCCACCACUGCCACCAGCCUCUGCACAUGAUUAUCGGAUAAAACAGAAGCUGCGUAUCCUCCAUCCACGUGGAGCUCUACGAGCUCCAGCGCCCCCCUCUGAAGGUUGGAGGCUCAGGGCAGGCCAUGCCUCUCACAGGAGAGGGGUCAGAGGGACAGUCACAGGCCCCAGGCCUGAAAGUGGGGCUCCACACAGAAGGCCAAGCUAGUGGGAAGGGCUGCAGAGCUUGGCCGUCUUCCCAAUCUCUCCUUUCGCAGCACUACAGUGAUUUUAAUUAAAUACUCCCCCUACUGACUCAGCAGUGGCUAACAAAGCCAAGUGCAGAGCCAGGAGCCUGAUAAACAGAGUGUUGCUGGAGGUGGUCAAUCUCGAAGGCUGUGGCUGGAGCCCGCCAUCCCUGUCUGGGGCCAGGCCCCAGGGCCCUAGUCCUCUUCCCCUUCUCCAGGACCCCGUGGGGUCUUUGCUGGGGGCAGGCAAGCUGUGCGUUCUCAAAACCUCUUGGCAGAGACUUUUUCUGGACCCCACUGGUCUUGGUUGUGAAUCCGUUACCAAACUCCUACUUGGAAGGCUGCUUAAUUCACUCCAUAAAUCUCUCCUCCUGGACUUUGCACAGCUGUGGCUAGAAGCUGAUUCCUGAGCGCUCUCAGCAGCCCCUGGAAGAAGACAGAAGAGAACGACUGUGAAGGAGAGGAGACUGGAAUUCACAUACCACCGGGCAGAGCAGUGAAAAGGCACAGGCCUUGUACCCAGACUCACUGGGGUUCUGACACCAGCUCUUCUGCUCUCACUGGGCUUCCUGGGCUAAUUACUCCGCUUACCAGCCUCAGCCUUCUUAUAUACCAAUCAGAAAGAAUACUCUUUAUGUUAUUAGAUGAUUGGAAGGAUUAACUGAGACCAAAAAAUGGCACCCAUCAAGCCUUCAGCAACUGGUGACUGUUACACCUAACGUGCGCACGCGGGUGCUAGGUAGCCCACGGCCUAUGGGAGAGCGGCCAAGACGCUGCAAAUAUUUGUGAGCACGUACAAUAUUUCUGCUCCUUCUAUUCAGGAGAGGAUUCAAGGUCUCAGAGAGGCGGCCUUACCUCUUCCAUUUCAACACCCUGUGUGACUCUCAUAGAGUUUACAGUCCUGGUGGGAAAUUCAGUUAUUAUCCAGUGAGCUGUCACCCCAUACAAGGAGUACAAAGAGGUUACCUCUUCACCAUUGAUGCUGAGUUGAGCUUGGCCCUGUAUUGUUUUGGCCAAAUGGCAUGUAGGCAGUGUCUGAGUUCUGAAUCCAGGCCUGAAGAGUCAUUGCACGCUUCUGCUCAUCAUUCUGGGACUUUCCUGAUCCUGACAUGAGUCACUGUCUCCCGGCCCGGACUUCUGACUACAACCCAUGAAGGAAAUCUGCAGUCUGAAACAGGGACACCAUAACCAAUCUGCAAACCUAUGAGCAAAAAUAAAUGCCCAGUGCCAUAUGUCAAAA